RNAcentral lists this ribosomal RNA (482 nucleotides) under uncultured bacterium. RNAcentral describes it as "partial 16S ribosomal RNA". It matches the Rfam family "Bacterial small subunit ribosomal RNA", at positions 30 to 507 of the family's 1533-position model. The record is from RNAcentral.
AUUGAACGCUGGCGGCAUGCUUUACACAUGCAAGUCGAACGGUAACAGGCCGCAAGGUGCUGACGAGUGGCGAACGCGUGAGUAAUGCAUCGGAACGUGCCCAGUCGUGGGGGAUAACUACUCGAAAGAGUAGCUAAUACCGCAUACGAUCUAUGGAUGAAAGCGGGGGACCGUAAGGCCUCGCGCGAUUGGAGCGGCCGAUGUCAGAUUAGGUAGUUGGUGGGGUAAAGGCUCACCAAGCCAACGAUCUGUAGCUGGUCUGAGAGGACGACCAGCCACACUGGGACUGAGACACGGCCCAGACUCCUACGGGAGGCAGCAGUGGGGAAUUUUGGACAAUGGGCGCAAGCCUGAUCCAGCAAUGCCGCGUGCAGGAAGAAGGCCUUCGGGUUGUAAACUGCUUUUGUACGGAACGAAACGGCUCUGGUUAAUACCCGGGGCUAAUGACGGUACCGUAAGAAUAAGCACCGGCUAACUACGUG